Molecule: long non-coding RNA, 859 nt
Filed under: Rosa chinensis
Lineage: Eukaryota; Viridiplantae; Streptophyta; Magnoliopsida; Rosales; Rosaceae
Description: sRNA RchiOBHm_Chr6g0257361
Source: RNAcentral
UCUUCUUGCUCACUUGAUUCUUGUUCUUAGUCUCUCCCUCUUCUUCUUAGUUUCGAUUUUAGGUUUGAUUUCGAUUAGGUUUUUCUUCUAUUUGGGGUGAUUGGAUUUUACUUUUCCUCUUAUCCUCGUCAAAAUGAGGUGUUCCAAUUACUGAAAACCCAGACCUCUCUCUCUCUCUGACUCUCAGCCUCCUUCACUGUCGAUGGCGGCGAAACGGCGGCAUUCAGUGAUUGUUGUCUUGGUCUCUCCAUGAAUUCGAAGGCAAUCACUUAGUGACUCGUCGUCUCUCUCUCUCUCUCUCUCUCAAUCUCUCCUGGACGGUCGCCGGCACUAGCCCUCUCCCUCUAUCCUCGAAGGUCGACGGCACCGACCCUUUCUCCUCGAAUUAGACUGGAGUAGUGGAAGGCGAUACGGUUGGAAUCGAGAGAGCGGGAGAAGAAGUCAGUUCGCCUUUCAUUUGGAUCAAUCUUGAAAGCUUGGCUAUCGAAGGGGUAUUGUUCGGUUUUGCUGUGAGGAGGAAGAGGACCUGCGUUUUGGAUAACUGCAUUUUGAGCCAAGGAGAAGAUGAGGAACUUGGGUAUAGGGUUGUGAUCGAUACUUAGUUUUUGGGACGUGUUAGUGCAAUAAUGUUUGCUAGAAGAGGUCCAAGAGGCUGCGCUUAUGCAGAUCCAGAACGACACCUUAUUAGUCCAAAGGAAUAUCAAAGUUUUUGAAUUGGAAGCAAUGGAAAUCUACAAGGAGUUGGCCUUUUCAUAGGUACUGAACCAAGAACAGGUCAUCUGGUUGUUAUGUCUUUUGUAGACGGUAGCCCAGCUGCUCUUGCUGGUAUUCAUGAGGGAGAUGAGUUGGUUGAAAUUAA